RNAcentral lists this unclassified non-coding RNA (662 nucleotides) under Desulfitobacterium dehalogenans. Its description in RNAcentral is "partial contains 16S ribosomal RNA, 16S-23S ribosomal RNA intergenic spacer, and 23S ribosomal RNA". The stretch from base 533 to 662 matches the Rfam family "Bacterial large subunit ribosomal RNA", at positions 1 to 130 of the family's 2925-position model. The record is from RNAcentral. Lineage: Bacteria; Bacillati; Bacillota; Clostridia; Eubacteriales; Desulfitobacteriaceae.
AAGUCGUAACAAGGUAGCCGUAUCGGAAGGUGCGGCUGGAUCACCUCCUUUCUAAGGAGACAUGGUUUCUCGCUAGAGAAAUCAUAUCCUAAGGUCGAUGCUUUGAAGAACGUCACGGAAGCAAUGAAGUGAAACGAUUCAAAGUCGGAGAAGUCUUAAGAGACUUCUUAUAGGAAACUUGGCUUGUGUGAAGCAUGAGCAGAAGCCAUAGUUGACUUAUCCACGGAGUGGAAAAAUGCCGAAGAGGCAAAACGGAGCAAUCCGUAAAGUAUGGGAAAUGAAGCUGUUGAAGUUAAAAGCUAACUUGUUGUUUAGUUUUGAGGGACCAUAAAGUCUUCUAUAUGGGGGUAUAGCUCAGCUGGGAGAGCACCUGCCUUGCAAGCAGGGGGUCAGCGGUUCGAUCCCGCUUACCUCCACCAUAAUAUAUCUGGUUUCUCUAAUGUUUAUUAUGUUCUUUGAAAACUGCACAGAGAAGAAGAAAACUGUAAUUAGGAUAACAUCUAAAACCUAGAAGUGGCGGCAAAAAACGUUUGGUCAAGCUACUAAGGGCGUACGGUGGAUGCCUAGGCGCUAAGAGUCGAAGAAGGACGCGGCGAGCGGCGAAACGCCACGGGGAGCAGUAAGCAUGCCUUGAUCCGUGGAUAUCCGAAUGGGGCAACCCA